AUGAAGAACGUAGCGAAAUGCGAUACGUAAUGUGAAUUGCAGAAUUCAGUGAAUCAUCGAAUCUUUGAACGCAUAUUGCGCUCUUUGGUAUUCCGAAGAGCAUGCUUGUUUGAGUAUCAGUAAACACCUCAAAGCUUUUGGAUUUUUUAAUCGAAAAGCUUUGGACUUGAGCAAUCCCAACACCAAUCUUUUUGAGAUCGGUGGCGGGUUGCUUGAAAUGCAGGUGCAGCUGGACAUUCUCCUGAGCUAAAAGCAUAUUCAUUUAGUCCCGUCAAACGGAUUAUUACUUUUGCUGCAGCUAACAUAAAGGGAGUUUGACCGUAUUGGCUGACUGAUGCAGGAUUUCACAAGGGUCGGCAACGAUUCUUGUUAAACUCGAUCUCAAAUCAAGUAAGACUACCCGCUGAACUUAAGCAUAUCAAUAAGCGGAGGA
This 433-nucleotide unclassified non-coding RNA is filed under the name soil metagenome. Its description in RNAcentral is "partial contains 5.8S ribosomal RNA, internal transcribed spacer 2, and large subunit ribosomal RNA". The stretch from base 1 to 119 matches the Rfam family "5.8S ribosomal RNA", at positions 36 to 154 of the family's 154-position model. The record is from RNAcentral.